UACGUAGGGUGCGAACGUUGUUCGGAAUCACUGGGCAUAAAGGGCGCGUAGGCGGUCCGGUCAGUCAAGUGUGAAAUCCCUCGGCUCAACCGAGGAACCGCACUUGAUACUGCCGGGCUAGAGUGCAGGAGGGGAGAGCGGAAUUCCUGGUGGAGCGGUGAAAUGCGUAGAUAUCAGGAGGAACGCCGGUGGCGAAAGCGACUCUCUGGUCUGCAACUGACGCUGAGGCGCGAAAGCUAGGGGAGCAAAC
RNAcentral lists this ribosomal RNA (250 nucleotides) under uncultured bacterium. RNAcentral describes it as "partial 16S ribosomal RNA". It matches the Rfam family "Bacterial small subunit ribosomal RNA", at positions 524 to 773 of the family's 1533-position model. The record is from RNAcentral.